Small nuclear RNA from Macadamia integrifolia, 105 nucleotides. The record is from RefSeq and is a predicted model, not a curated record. NCBI's taxonomy places the organism in Eukaryota, Viridiplantae, Streptophyta, Magnoliopsida, Proteales, Proteaceae.
AUUUUUUUUUGUAGAUAUCCGAUAAAAUUGAAAUGAUACGGAGAAGAUUAGCAUGGACCCUUCGCAAGGAUGACCCGCACAAAUCGAGAACUCUAGUUGAUUAAG